This 240-nucleotide unclassified non-coding RNA is filed under the name plant metagenome. RNAcentral describes it as "partial contains 5.8S ribosomal RNA, internal transcribed spacer 2, and large subunit ribosomal RNA". The record is from RNAcentral.
GCUGAAGAAGGCAGGUGAAGCUCCACUGCGGCAUCAUCACCUGAAAGCGGCGCACGUCCCGCGGCAGGGCGAUCUCUACACCGGACGCAUCCCGAUGAUGUUCAACGAGGACAUGGUCGCGUACCGGCACAAGCCGGCGACGACGUACGGCGAGUACGAGUACUACCGGAACGGCGGCGCCGACGAGGUCAUCUUCGUCUUCCGCGGCAGCGGCACGCUCGAGUCGAUGUUCGGCAAGCU